CAUAAUUAAGGGUACGUAGCUCUUUAUUUUGCUGUCAAAUGAAACUGUUUCUUUCUCCCACUCAUCUCAUCACACUCACACGUGAGACAGUGAAUUAGCUAGCCUUUACCCGGUGUAUUUGUUUAAUUAAAUCUUUCUGAGUAUUGGAAUUUGAUACUGUAUUGUUUUGAUGAUGCAGAUUCUAGUCAAGUUCAAGUGAGGGCGAGUCAUACAUGCAGGCUGAAGUCACUCAAUCAGAUAUGAAGUAAGAUAUUGGCAGAAGUUUUCAUUUCAAUGCUGAUCGUUUGUAGCAGCGCCGCCAGCAUAUAUGAAUAAAAUAAGAGUAACUCAAGAACGUGAGGAAUUUGAAGCCAUUGGGAAGCGUGUUGGACUGGGAGGUGCAGCAGCAGGGGGACAAAAAGGAAAUCGCAACAGGAAUUUUCCUUUGCAUUAUAUGUCUACUCGUUGAAGAUACGUGUGUGUUGAAGUCCCGAGAAUUAUUGUAAUUUAAUGAACGGUUGCUAUGAUUUUUGUGAAAACAAAAGAAGGGUAUGUGUGUAUGUAUGCUCUGCUUGAUGUUGUUUGUUAAUGAAUGUGAAAUGGGUCGCGUGUUUCUACUUUGGGGGCAUUAAUUUAUUCAACUAUUCAUAUUUACGAACAAGGAAAAGAUAAAGAAGCUCACGUUUUGGAGCCAGAGACCG
Vigna unguiculata (cowpea) is the source of this 680-nucleotide long non-coding RNA. Lineage: Eukaryota; Viridiplantae; Streptophyta; Magnoliopsida; Fabales; Fabaceae. The record is from RefSeq and is a predicted model, not a curated record.